GAUGAACGCUAGCUACAGGCUUAACACAUGCAAGUCGAGGGGCAGCAUGGUCUUAGCUUGCUAAGGCCGAUGGCGACCGGCGCACGGGUGAGUAACACGUAUCCAACCUGCCGUCUACUCUUGGACAGCCUUCUGAAAGGAAGAUUAAUACAAGAUGGCAUCAUGAGUUCACAUGUUCACAUGAUUAAAGGUAUUCCGGUAGACGAUGGGGAUGCGUUCCAUUAGAUAGUAGGCGGGGUAACGGCCCACCUAGUCUUCGAUGGAUAGGGGUUCUGAGAGGAAGGUCCCCCACAUUGGAACUGAGACACGGUCCAAACUCCUACGGGAGGCAGCAGUGAGGAAUAUUGGUCAAUGGGCGCAGGCCUGAACCAGCCAAGUAGCGUGAAGGAUGACUGCCCUAUGGGUUGUAAACUUCUUUUAUAAAGGAAUAAAGUCGGGUAUGUAUACCCGUUUGCAUGUACUUUAUGAAUAAGGAUCGGCUAACUCCGUG
This 490-nucleotide ribosomal RNA is filed under the name uncultured bacterium. RNAcentral describes it as "bacterial SSU rRNA". It matches the Rfam family "Bacterial small subunit ribosomal RNA", at positions 28 to 507 of the family's 1533-position model. The record is from RNAcentral.